AGAGUUUGAUCCUGGCUCAGGACGAACGCUAGCGGCGUGCCUAAGGUAUGCAAGUCGAACGGGAGCUUCGGCUCUAGUGGCGAACGGUCGAGUAACACGUAGACAACCUGCCCUUCAGUGGGGGAUAACAGCGGGAAACUGCUGCUAAUACCGCAUGCGGCCCGGUCAAGCAUUUGACUGGCGCUAAAGGAUUUAUUCGC
RNAcentral lists this ribosomal RNA (200 nucleotides) under uncultured bacterium. RNAcentral's name for it is "partial 16S ribosomal RNA". It matches the Rfam family "Bacterial small subunit ribosomal RNA", at positions 8 to 218 of the family's 1533-position model. The record is from RNAcentral.